AACAAGGGGUUCCACCCAUCCUUUGCGGGCUCUCCUCUAGACCGGGUUCAAUUGUUAGGGUUGAAAUUAAGAUUGCUUACUGGCAUGAUGAAAAGGGUAAAAGGGUGUGGAGAAGACGGAGGUGCUUCCAAUUCCAUUUCCAUGGAGGAGGUUAAUAGGAUAUCCGAUUUGCCAGAAGGGUUAUUGCAGAGGAUUUUUUAUUUUCUCUCACAAGAAGAUGCUGUCCGAACCUCUGUAUUGUCCAAAUCAUGGCGCUACAUUUGGUGCACUCGCCCUAAUUUCGAUCUUUCAGAACCCAACUUCAAAGGAAACAAACAUCAGUUUAUAUCCGCUGUGGAAAACACUUUGCAGCGAUACACUGAUCCUAAUGGGCUGUCGUUGGAGGAAUUUAACCUAACUCUAUCGCUGCUUGGUGGAGGCGACGAUAAUCACUGAUUUUGUCCGUAGGUCUUCGUCUUCCUCAAGCCAGCUUCGUCCGUACUCCGGUGGACAGACCUGCAACGCCGGGAGGGGUUCCCGGCGGGAAAGCUCCGACGAUCAAGUCAGUGAUCGGAAUAAAGGGAGAGACGUGUAUGUAAUGUAAUAGUAAUAAGUGUAUAUUCUCGUGUGUGUACGUAUGUUGAUUCUCCUAUUUAUAGAUGAGGAAAGCUUGGCCUCCAAGGCUUUCCUUUUUUAGGGU
Molecule: non-coding RNA, 679 nt
Organism: Erythranthe guttata (spotted monkey flower)
Lineage: Eukaryota; Viridiplantae; Streptophyta; Magnoliopsida; Lamiales; Phrymaceae
Source: RefSeq, a predicted model, not a curated record